This 131-nucleotide non-coding RNA is filed under the name Streptomyces sp. CNQ-509. RNAcentral's name for it is "Streptomyces RNA 6925". It matches the Rfam family "Streptomyces RNA 6925". Rfam says of the family: Identified by deep sequencing of transcriptome at the end of exponential growth phase. Sequencing size consistent with northern blot size. The record is from Rfam by way of RNAcentral. Lineage: Bacteria; Bacillati; Actinomycetota; Actinomycetes; Kitasatosporales; Streptomycetaceae.
UCAGUGUCGCCACGCUGACGUGCCCGGUGCAAGGGGAUCAGCAUGGUGAUGGUGGGCGAACUCCGCCCCUGGCAGGGCGGGUUACGCCGUGGGCGUCGGCGUCCGAGAGUUCCCGCUCUCGGACGCCCACG